GCGGAUGUGGCGGAAUUGGCAGACGCGCUAGACUUAGGAUCUAGUGUUUACGACGUGCAGGUUCAAGUCCUGUCAUCCGCACUA
Molecule: transfer RNA, 84 nt
Filed under: Firmicutes bacterium AM31-12AC
Lineage: Bacteria; Bacillati; Bacillota
Also listed under: 3 other names
Description: tRNA-Leu
Rfam family: tRNA
About the family: Transfer RNA (tRNA) molecules are approximately 80 nucleotides in length. Their secondary structure includes four short double-helical elements and three loops (D, anti-codon, and T loops).
Source: RNAcentral